GAUGAACGCUGGCGGCGUGCCUAAUACAUGCAAGUCGUACGGAAAGGCCCUUCGGGGUACUCGAGUGGCGGACGGCUGAGUAACGCGUGGGAACGUGCCCCAAAGUGAGGGAUAACGCACCGAAAGGUGUGCUAAUACCGCAUAUGGUCUUCGGAUUAAAGCUUCGGCGCUUUGGGAGCGGCCCGCGUACGACUAGAUAGUUGGUGCGGUAAUGGCUCACCAAGUAGACGAUCGUUAGCUGGUCUGAGAGGAUGAUCAGCCAGACUGGGACUGAGACACGGCCCAGACUCCUACGGGAGGCAGCAGUAAGGAAUCUUCCACAAUGGGGGCAACCCUGAUGGAGCAACGCCGCGUGCAGGAUGAAGGUUUUCGGAUCGUAAACUGCUUUUAUAAGUGAAGAAUAUGACGGUAACUUAUGAAUAAGGAUCGGCUAACUACGUGCCGGCAGCCGCCGCCG
This 457-nucleotide ribosomal RNA is filed under the name uncultured bacterium. RNAcentral describes it as "partial 16S ribosomal RNA". It matches the Rfam family "Bacterial small subunit ribosomal RNA", at positions 28 to 523 of the family's 1533-position model. The record is from RNAcentral.